UGCUGUCCUUCGGCAGGCGGAGGUAUCGGGUGUAGUUGCCUGUUACAGAAAACAUGGAUUGAUAUCGCUUUUUUUAAUGAGCAGCAUUUUUACGGCUUGGUGAAAAAAGGCCAUUAACCUACUUAACAACAUCGCAUGUUGUUGACUGUGGUGCAUGUGGUAGAGAGGGUGCGCCUAACCCUAACCGCAAGGUUGGCGGUUCAACCCCCGGAUUCUCCAUGUCGAAGUGUCCUUGGGCAAGACACCUAACCCCUAAUUGCUCCCCGUGCAAAAAAGCUGUGAAAUAAAAAUGCAAUCCUGUGCGUCAAUCAUGGGAACUGAUUGAGCCUGUAUUGAUCUGCACCAUUGAAGACUGGGCAGUUCACAACAGUCAGUGAGUGUGGCCAAUUAUUUUGUUAACACAGCUUUGGGACUUACAUUUCUGUUGCAACAGCGUGGUUGUAUUUAUCUAAUUGAAUCAGUGCAGGGAUGAUUGUGGGCUUGAAGUAUCAGCUGCUCUGUUCUCUUUAUUGCAGAUGCCUCCAGCGUUACUCAUCUUCAUGUCGCAAUUUCUCAAAGUGCUUAGUUUUUAAGUCCGACCUCCGUUGAAGGCAGAGCUGAGCUCCGUCAUGAGCAGGGCGGUGCGAAGGAGAGCCCCCGCUGAUGAAAGAGGAGCCGGUCACUGUGAAUAUUCUGACCAGCGUGCGUGCUAAAUGAAUUACGAUAUAAUAAGUGUCUGACAAUAUUUUUGAGGUUAUUCCUCCACGGCUCAAUUUGGAUUUGCCGUCGUGACCGAUUGCAAACGUGUGUGCAGUGUUCAAAGGAUCCGACACACUAAUUCCCAACUGGGCAGGAGCUCCAUUUGCUUUUCUU
Long non-coding RNA from Gasterosteus aculeatus aculeatus (three-spined stickleback), 852 nucleotides. Lineage: Eukaryota; Metazoa; Chordata; Actinopteri; Perciformes; Gasterosteidae. The record is from Ensembl.